GCCUAUGAUCAAAUCACCCGUGUAAUGCAGCCGAUUUCGUCAGAUUGCAGAAGCUAAGCAGUGUUGAGCCUGGACAAUGCUUGGAUGGGUGACCAGUAUGCAUAAAGCAUGUGUUGUAGGCU
RNAcentral lists this ribosomal RNA (122 nucleotides) under Petromyzon marinus (sea lamprey). The record is from RNAcentral. Lineage: Eukaryota; Metazoa; Chordata; Hyperoartia; Petromyzontiformes; Petromyzontidae.